AUAGCGGCGUUUUUAAACGCCACUAUAUGAAAUAACGGCGUCUUA
Molecule: non-coding RNA, 45 nt
Organism: Corchorus olitorius
Lineage: Eukaryota; Viridiplantae; Streptophyta; Magnoliopsida; Malvales; Malvaceae
Source: Rfam